RNAcentral lists this ribosomal RNA (292 nucleotides) under uncultured bacterium. RNAcentral describes it as "partial 16S ribosomal RNA". It matches the Rfam family "Bacterial small subunit ribosomal RNA", at positions 505 to 796 of the family's 1533-position model. The record is from RNAcentral.
GUGCCAGCCGCCGCGGUAAUACGGAGGGGGUUAGCGUUGUUCGGAAUUACUGGGCGUAAAGCGCACGUAGGCGGAUCAGAAAGUUGGGGGUGAAAUCCCGGGGCUCAACCCCGGAACUGCCUCCAAAACUACUGGUCUAGAGUUCGAGAGAGGUGAGUGGAAUUCCGAGUGUAGAGGUGAAAUUCGUAGAUAUUCGGAGGAACACCAGUGGCGAAGGCGAUCAACUGGACCGGUACUGACGCUGAGGUACGAAAGCGUGGGGAGCAAACAGGAUUAGAUACCCGGGUAGUCC